RNAcentral lists this unclassified non-coding RNA (263 nucleotides) under plant metagenome. RNAcentral's name for it is "partial contains small subunit ribosomal RNA, internal transcribed spacer 1, and 5.8S ribosomal RNA". The record is from RNAcentral.
UUUCCGUAGGUGAACCUGCGGAAGGAUCAUUAUCGAGUUUUGACUGGGUUGUAGCUGGCCUUCCGAGGCAUGUGCACGCCCUGCUCAUCCACUCUACACCUGUGCACUUACUGUGGGUAUCAGAUCGUGAAGCGUGCUUUUUUACCGGAGCUUGUGAAGCAUGUCUGUGCCUGCGUUUAUCACAAACACUGUAAAGUAUCAGAAUGUGUAUUACGAUGUAACGCAUCUAUAUACAACUUUCAGCAACGGAUCUCUUGGCUCUC